This is a long non-coding RNA of Pantherophis guttatus, 435 nucleotides long. RefSeq lists it as uncharacterized. The record is from RefSeq and is a predicted model, not a curated record. NCBI's taxonomy places the organism in Eukaryota, Metazoa, Chordata, Lepidosauria, Squamata, Colubridae.
UAACUAGAUGAUCACAUAGAGAAGAUUGGAAUGGAGAACCAGCCUUACUUCAUAGAGCAGUGCUGAAAGAAAUAUUCUCAGCUGAGCCUCAUAGAUUUCAUCCAGUCCUUCCAAUCACAGUUUGUUUUUCAGUCUUUCUCUUCCUCUGGAUCCCAUUCACUUUUCCUUCAUAUAUUGUUUUGUUUCACGAUUCAAUUCUUCCCAUUCUCUCUAAAAGAACAAAUCAUUUCCACAUGCUCCUUUCCUAACUGCAAAUCAUUAAGAUUUUUGGCCAACGACACAGCAUCAUCAUUAAAAGAAACAGACAUCAGCCUCCCCAAAGCAACAGUUCUAACGUUACCACAUGCAUUCCUUAUGCAUUUAAGAAUAUAUGUAGAAAUAUGCCCGUACAUGUUUGUGCGUGAUAUGUGCAACAAAUAAACAAGUGUAAUGUAA